ACUCCUACGGGAGGCAGCAGUGGGGAAUAUUGGACAAUGGGGGAACCCUAGAACCAAGCCAUGCCGCGUGUGUGAAGAAGGCCUUCGGGUUGUAAAGCACUUUCAGUGGGGAGGAAAGGUUGAUGGUUAAUACCUAUCAGCUGUGACGUUACCCACAGAAGAAGCACCGGCUAACUCCGUGCCAGCAGCCGCGGUAAUACGGAGGGUGCAAGCGUUAAUCGGAAUUACUGGGCGUAAAGCGUGCGCAGGCGGUCUGUUAAGCGAGAUGU
Molecule: ribosomal RNA, 269 nt
Filed under: uncultured bacterium
Lineage: Bacteria
Description: partial 16S ribosomal RNA
Rfam family: Bacterial small subunit ribosomal RNA
Source: RNAcentral